UACGUAGGGCGCAAGCGUUAUCCGGAAUUAUUGGGCGUAAAGAGCUCGUAGGCGGUUUGUCGCGUCUGCUGUGAAAGACCGGGGCUCAACUCCGGAUCUGCGGUGGGUACGGGUAGACUAGAGUGAUGUAGGGGAGACUGGAAUUCCUGGUGUAGCGGUGAAAUGCGCAGAUAUCAGGAGGAACACCGAUGGCGAAGGCAGGUCUCUGGGCAUUAACUGACGCUGAGGAGCGAAAGCAUGGGGAGCGAACAGG
This 253-nucleotide ribosomal RNA is filed under the name uncultured bacterium. RNAcentral's name for it is "partial 16S ribosomal RNA". It matches the Rfam family "Bacterial small subunit ribosomal RNA", at positions 524 to 776 of the family's 1533-position model. The record is from RNAcentral.